This is a non-coding RNA of Pelobates cultripes (western spadefoot toad), 286 nucleotides long. Lineage: Eukaryota; Metazoa; Chordata; Amphibia; Anura; Pelobatidae. The record is from the annotation of a GenBank genome assembly.
AAAGCUUUGUCUAUAGAACAUAGAAUUUUCUUGUCAGCAAGAAAUAGCUUUGAUAAAAUGUGUAUUUACUAAAAGCCUUGAAACCUAACCUUGAGAAACUAACCGUGCCAGCUACACUCUAAAUGGAUAGCUGCCAAAAGGCCCCUCCCGUCGAGUGAGCUCCUCAUGUUAGCAAAAUGGCGCUAAAACCUGGAGGAGAUAAUCAUGACGUGGAUAGUGACUUAAGAUGGUACACCCCAUAGGGAGGGCAUUUUACUAACAUCUUAGCACCUAAGCCAAUUAACAA